UGGGUGUUAUGGCUGGUUCUUACUACAUUAUUCAUCCGCUACAGGAACUGGGAUUAGAUUGCAAAAGGUCCCAAGGCCAAAGCCUCCUGAGCUGGGAAAUCAAAACUACCCCCUCAAGCAAUAGGGACAGCCCUGUGACAGCAAGACCCUGCCCAUGAUUGAUCUCAAGACAAUGACUGGCCCGACCUUCGCUGCCCACCUGCACGUACUCACUGACCUCUGUCCCACAUUUGCUUUAUAUAAACCGGCAAGUAUGUUCAGCACUUUGGAGACAGCCCUUCAGGCUUGUACCCAUGACACGGAACCCUCUUUGGGCUUUGGUGCAAGGCAAGCCAGAUCGUCACCUAUUCGUUCAUGAUGUUUGCAAUUUCUUCGCGGAAUCGGACUGCCAUUCUGGAAAACUGGAGGACUAUUUUCUCGAUAUCUGUGUAUGUGCCAUUCCCAGAGCAAUGUCUUUGGAAUGACAACUUUGACGUUUAAUCUACAUUCUCAACAUUCUCUCUUUCUCGCACCAGCUGACCCACUGCACUCUGACCAGGACCCCAUCACAGUCUACCAUUCGUCUUGCUGGGAAGGGGGAAGACACCUGCCAGGCCACUGUUUCUCAGCC
This is a long non-coding RNA of Mustela erminea (ermine), 610 nucleotides long. RefSeq lists it as uncharacterized. The record is from RefSeq and is a predicted model, not a curated record. NCBI's taxonomy places the organism in Eukaryota, Metazoa, Chordata, Mammalia, Carnivora, Mustelidae. The transcript is spliced from 4 exons.